AAGCAUCGGUUGCCCUUCUCGUCCACGA
RNAcentral lists this small RNA (28 nucleotides) under Bombyx mori (domestic silkworm). Its description in RNAcentral is "ovarian small RNA-10571". Lineage: Eukaryota; Metazoa; Arthropoda; Insecta; Lepidoptera; Bombycidae. The record is from RNAcentral.